CCAUCUUUGAAAUCUACUUUUUUGAUGGGAAUAGGUACUACAUUAGGCUUAUUCAAAUGAGUCUUAGUUUUGGUAGUAGGGUCAGUUAUUGUGGCAAAAUUUCUAGUUAAAGACGCAGGAGGUAUAGGAAUGGCUUUAGAGGGUGAGUUUAGAGGAGGAAUUGGAUUGUGGAGUCGAUAGAAAGGAAACCUGGCCAGUCAAUGGCGAUGACUGACCUCUAGUCGAGGUCAUGAAUACAUCUAACAGAAGUGCAGAAAUAUUUGAUUUUGGGCCAUUAUUCAAGUUGUACUCAAAGAACUUUUCUUCUUGAUAUAUACUCACCUUGGAACCACUACCGACAACAGAGAGAAUUAUAAAAAAUCAGGUAUGAAGUUUGGCAAAAUUUUGCUUAUUUGAAGUGUGGUUUUGUCAUGACCAAAUAUUACAUAUUUUUGCCUGAAAUUAAACUUGACUCGCCAAAACUAAAUUAAAUAAUUUUUGAAUAAAGUUAUGGCAUUGGCAAGACCUACUUCAGAUAUAUAAUGGUUGCACUUCAAAUAUCUAAUGACUACACGAUACAUAUAAUGGCUUGCCAAAAUCAACUUUAGGACUUUUUUACACUAAGGGUGUGUUUGGUAUGAAGGAAAAUAUUUUCCAUGGAAAAUGUUUUUCUAGAAAAUGUUUUCUUGGAAAACAAGUAGAUUUUUUACUUGUUUUCUUGUGUUUGGUUGGUGGAUGGAAAAUAUUUUUAGGAAAAUAGUUUGUAAUGUUUGGUUGGUGAAUGAAAAAAUAGUUUUUAAAAAAUACAUUUUAAUCUUUAGCUAAAGCGUAAAAAUACAUUUUAGAAAAAUAUUUUUUGAUCUCAAAAAAUAUUUUUUGGGGUUGUUCGAUAUGAAGGAGGAGAAAUAUUUUCUAAAAAAAUAAGUUGUUUCUUACUUAUAUUUAGGGGUGCAUUCGGUUUGUUCGGUUUGAUUGUUGAAUAUCGGUACAAUUUUUUGGUUUUCGGAUUGACGAAAAUGACAAUCAUAACCAAAUCAAAAUUAUUUCAGUUUGGUUCGAUUUUUACAAAUUUGGUUCGGUUAUUUCGUAUUUUUAUUUUAAUUUUGAAGAUUAAAGUAUUGAGCAUUUAAAAUUGGUGAUUUUUCUAGAAAAAUAAUUUUUUUUCAAACCUAUUUUCAUUCUUAAAUAUAAUUAAUUCAACAUGAAUGAAAUAACCAUAAAUAUCGACUUCGCGGAGUCAUCACCGUUGGCGUAACGACAAUGGNNNNNNNNNNNNNNNNNNNNNNNNNNNNNNNNNNNNNNNNNNNNNNNNNNNNNNNNNNNNNNNNNNNNNNNNNNNNNNNNNNNNNNNNNNNNNNNNNNNNNNNNNNNNNNNNNNNNNNNNNNNNNNNNNNNNNNNNNNNNNNGAAUGGGGGUAGUAGGGGGUGGGGGUUGGGGUAGGGGAGUGAGGGUGGGGUAAGAAAAAAGUUUGUUUUUUUUUCUUUAAAUUUUUUUGUUUUUUUGUUUUUGGAAAGGGGAAGGAAGUAGGGUUUUGGGUAGGGGUGAGGUAAAAAAAAUUAAACUAUAUUUUUAAAUAGAGGUGGUAGGGGGUGGGGUGAGAGUGGGUAUGGGGGUAGGGUGGGUGAUUGAGGGUCGGAGUAGGGAUGAGUGAUUUUGAGAGUUGUAUGAAUAUUUCAACUUAAGAGUGAGGUUGAAAGAGAAUUUUGAAAAAUGUUUUCCUUACUUUUUGAAGGGAAGUCAUUUUCCUUAAUUUUAAGGUAAAUAAGUUGAUUUGGAAAAUAUUUUUCAAAACCUGUAAGCCAACCAAACAGGAGAAAAUUAGAAAACAUUUUUCAAAAAAUGUUUUCUUUCAUACGAAACAUACCCUAAAUCUCUAUGGUUUUUACAAGGCCAAAUUUCAGACAUAUAGGGUGUGUUUAGUAUGAUGAAAAAUGUUUUCCUAUUUUCCCUUGUUUGGUUGCAAUAAAACCAAACAUUUUCCUCAAUUUGAGGGAAAAUGACUUCCCUCAUGGGCCAGGGGAAAUCAUUUUCCAGAAAAUGACAAAUGUAACUUAUGACCCCACCCGCAUCCCUCUUCCCCACACCAACAACACUCAUAUUCAUAUGACUCAAAAAAUUCGUAUUUCUCAAAAAUUUACAUUACUCAAAAAUAUUUUUCACUGUGUUUUGCUUCAAUUUUUCACUGCUUGAAAUAAAAAAUAGUGAAGUCCAAAUUUUCCCCAUUUUCAAUAUUCGUUGAAUGUAUUGUUAUUUUCAUAUGCAUAGAAGACUUACCUAUGUUACUUUUGCUAAUUGCAUAUUUCAUUUUGUCAUCGAUGCAACUUGUUUCACAAGGUUGAAUAAGCUUGUCGUUCCGUUAUAUUUCUAUUGAUUGUAGUAUCUUGAGGUUGUCGUGACAAAAUAUUGAAAAGUGUCUCCUCUAUUUGUUAAUUAAUAGUUUCUUAAAUUUAGUGAUUGUAAUAUUUUAGUAUUCGAUAUUGAUAUUAUUUGGUAUGUUUAAAUUAGUUCUUACAAAUUGUUGAGUUGCUAGAGACACAGAUAUACUAUUUAACAGUUAGUAGUAUUUUCUAAAAAAAAUAUUUUUUCAUUCACUAAUCAAACACUAGAAAAUAUUUUUCUAAAAAAUAGUCUCUACCCACCAACCAAACACCAUAAAAUAUUUUUCAGAAAAUAUUUUUUACUCACCAACCAAACAUGAGAAAAUAAGCAGAAAAUCAACUUAUUUUCUUGAAAAAUAUUUUCCAAGAAAACAUUUUCCAUACCAAACACACCCAUAUAAUGUUGCAUUUCGAACAUUUUGACAUUAGAUCAACAUUUGGCUUCAAUUACAUUUUGCAUGAAGUUCAGGUGAACAAAUUUUAUUUUUCCGGAAUUAAUAACUUGUUCCCUAUUUCAAUAAUCCAAUACUAGACUUAAUAUUAAAACUCUUGUUGUAUUUAUAUCUGGAUAACAAACACUUAUCUAUUAGGAGAUUUAUUAUGUAUAUAUGUAUAUUUUUUAUUAUAAAUAGAGGUUAUUGAGGCUCUUAAUUCGUUGAGCCAUUCACUAAAACAUUAUCAUGGUGUCAAAUUAGCCAAAAAAUCGUUGUUUCUCUUCCCACUACUUUAACGUGAUUUGCCCCCCUUUAAAUUUGACUUUGAUCAAUGCUAUUGCUCUUCUAUUAGGUACAGUAUUCUACUACAGUAGCACUCUAUACUCUAGGAACAGUCGCUAUCUAGUAUCUCUAUUUUUUUCUGUAUCUCAUGCCAAUCUCUAUAAAUUUUUAAACGUCUUCUUAAUCCUUGCCCACAUUUGGCACCAUUGCAUUUGUACCCUCUAUUUUCAUACCACUCAUCUCUAUCUCUUGACAGCGCCCAAGCGCACACGCAAGUGUACGUAGUCUACCAAGUAAUAUAGUAGCCUUAAAAAAAGCCGAAUAUCGAUCUCACAAGGACUAGUUCCAACAACUAUUUAAAUUCUUGUUCACUUAUUGAGAUUAACUUGAUGCGAGGUAACCAAAAAGAGUUGUGAUUGAUAAACUAAAAAUAAAGUAAACAGUGCAUAAAGUAAAGACUAAAGGCAAUCAAUAGAGUAAAGCCCAGGGUUAAAGCACUUCGAACAAUCAUACUACGCGAUUGAACUUCAUUCGUUAAAUUGCUUAUUUUGACUGUUGAUUCAUAGGGUUUAUUGCAUGAUCAUGGUCUCUCGAUCUCUAAUCGUCUAUCUAACUUGGACAUGACAACUACAUCGUUGAGCGGGGAUGUAAUAAUCCAAUUAAGUGCUUAAAGCUAUCAUUCUACAUGUGAAUCAAGCAAGGCUUCUAGAUACAUCCUUGUCCUUUAUGCUAAUUCAGAUUCUUUAUUUCUUAAAGGAAUAGGAACCUUACUUUGAUUAUCCCCACGUUCUAUCUUCCUAUUCCCCCUUCGAGAUCACAAGGUUGACAAUAUAUGUAUUCUAAGGUUAGAUACUCCUUAAAAUAGUUCAGAUAAGGAUAAAUAAACAACCAAAUAUGAUGAGCAAAUCAAAUGAAAUCAAUUCAAAAUGAUGGUAAUCAUGUUCUUGGCUUUAACCCCGGAAAGGGGGCGUUUAACCACUAAUUGACAUAAUCAUGAUCCAAAUACUUGAAUACAUCAUCAAAUCUAUUAAAAAGCUAAAGAUAAAGAAUAAAACGCUAAAUAAAGUGUUUGGAAGCCCCUUACAAGGCUUCAAUAUGUCCAAAGAUGAUUAGAAUAAGUUACAAAGUAUUCUAUUUAUAGUUGAUGACUUAAGUCAUGUAUGGGAAGGUCCGCGGUGUGUUGGAUAUCAUGUGGGAAGAGUGGCGCAUCGCGGUGGAUAUCUCGUGGAAUAAGGGGCACGGGGCAUUUCAAAUCGCGUGGGAAGAGCUCCGUGAUGCGGCUAAUUCACGGGCUCACUGGAAUGUGCCUCUUGACGCCUAAUUUUGUCUAAGUAUUUCUCCUUCCAUCCCUUUCCUUGUGGUGUUGUUUCCACUGAAUUUACAGCUUGUAUUUCAUCAAUAUAUCACCCUAAUUAACUUACCAAGCAUCUGUAAUACCCCAGGAAAUUUUUCGUUGAAAUUUUGUGCGUAAACGUGUCGGGUUCUAUCUUCUAGAAUGAAUUAUAAAUUUUUCGUGUGGAAUGUCUUAGAUUAUGACCCACCAUUGCGUAGUGUAUCGAAUAAGAUUUCCAAUGAUAUGUGGAUCAUCCAAAAUGGACACCCGAGCGACGAGUUAUGAACAUUCCGAUCGAAUCGUGAAUAGUAGUGAACAGUAAAACGUGCAGGAAAAAGUACUGAGGCUUGGCGUAUUUUUGCUCCAACUUUAAACGAUCAUAACUCCUUGUACAUAAUGAUCUGGGUGAUCUACUAUAUAUUAAUGGAAAGCUCUGCGAAUCCACUUUCCAAUGAAAUUGGUUUCAUCCAAUUUGUCUAUCGGAGCAAAAAGUUAUGUUUGAUCUACUUCAGCCUAUCAAAAAUAAAUUUUUGGGUCAACUUCAAAUGAUCAUAACUCCUCGUAUACAAUGAGCUAGGUGAGAUACUAUAUAUCAACGGAAAGAUAUGAGAGUCCUCUUUCUAAUGAAAUUGGUUUCAUCCAAUUUGGAUAUCGGAGUAAAACGUUAUGCUUGAUCUACUUCAGACUAUCAAAAAAGUCCACCAAAGGACAGAUUCGAGAAUUAUUUGAUUUUUAGGNNNNNNNNNNNNNNNNNNNNNNNNNNNNNNNNNNNNNNNNNNNNNNNNCUCAAAAAGAAAAUCCUAAGCUCCUACAUCCAACUUCAAGAACCUCCAAAGUUCACCAUUAAUUCUGCAAAUUUAUUCAAGAUUCCAAGUUCCUAGUUCAAGAACUCCAAGAACCAUCAUUCAAAGGCACGAUUAACAUCUCAAAAAUGAGUCUCGAUCUAAAGUUCAUCAUUCAAGGUAUGUGGGGUUUUUCAACAAGAACUCUCUUUCGUUCUUGUGCCCAAAAGUAAUUUUCUUUACAAAGGCAUGAUUUUUAUUUGAUUUUUAUGAAUUUGAAGCAUAAACUCAUAUCUUAUGAUGAUUAUUAUGAAAUCUUGAUGUUUAUGAUUUUGAAAGAUGAAUUUACAUGUGUGGAGAUAUAAAACAUGAAUCUUGAACGAUAUUUAUCAUGAUUUUGAUAUUCGGAUCAUGAAUCCCCAUUGGAAAUUGUGUUUUUUUGAGAAAGUGUUGUUAUAAGCACGUUGAUGUUGAAUAUUUGAGAUAUUUUGAAUAAUUUGACCAUUUGGUCUUAAUGGAGUUGUUUUGAACUCGAGUGUGAAAUAAAUUCACAACGUGGUUGAUUUUGAUAAAUGGGAAGCAUGAUGGCUCCCGAUGUAUAUUUAUAUAUUACUGAAAUUGUUUUGUUAUGGAUUGUCUUUGAAAUGAUCUGNNNNNNNNNNNNNNNNNNNNNNNNNNNNNNNNNNNNNNNNNNNNNNNNNNNNNNNNNNNNNNNNNNNNNNNNNNNNNNNNNNNNNNNNNNNNNNNNNNNNNNNNNNNNNNNNNNNNNNNNNNNNNNNNNNNNNNNNNNNNNNNNNNNNNNNNNNNNNNNNNNNNNNNNNNNNNNNNNNNNNNNNNNNNNNNNNNNNNNNNNNNNNNNNNNNNNNNNNNNNNNNNNNNNNNNNNNNNNNNNNNNNNNNUCCCAGUGUGUGUGUGUUUCCUUGUGUCUCUGGUGAAUGGUGAAGUGAUUUGAAAGUGGAAUUGUGAAAGUUAUUCUUUCGAAAGAUUUAAAUGAUAUUUACAUUAUGAGAAUUGAUAUUCUUGAUGAACUGAAAGUGAUUGACAAAUUAUAUGGUGACUCAUAUGUGUUAUUGUACUUAUUUCAUCUUCUCAUGUUAUGAUGAUUUUCUUCGGACUAUGUGAGUUUUUCAUACAUCCUGCUUAUUUCUUAUAAAUAUUUAUGAUGAUGAUGUUUAUACAACUGCAUACACCCCCAUAUACUCGGUUCCUUUCUAUGGUACUGACCCAUAUUUUCGGAUGUGGGCUGCAUUUUCUCGGAAUAUAGGUUUAGGUGCUCAGUUCUAGGUUCGAUAGUGAUUCUUUGGGCACACUGUUCUACACCCUCUGUUGGUGAGUCCUCAUGUUCCGAGGACGUGAUGUUGAUAGUGGUUUAACAAAAUUAUUUAUAUUUGAUAACUGAGUAUGAGUCAGUUGGGGCAUGUUUCAAUGGCUCGCUAGUUUUAUUGAUUUUCCUAAAGGCUUGUCAGACUAGUAUAGAUGUUGGGAGUUAACUAAUAAGUCGUAUUUUGUUAUCUUUCUGACAUUCUUUUAUUUUUGGAUGAUGAUUACUCUGUUGAUAUUUGAGGGUUAUUUAUGGAAAUCCCGUUGAAUUAUGUUGAACUGAAUGAAAAUGGCUCAAAGGGUUAGCUUGGGGCUACUCGUAGCCUCAAGCACCGUGUGACGCUCUGGGACCCAUUAAUCCACAAGUACAAGAGUCAUAAUCGUGAGCCUAGGAGUCUAAUAAGUAGUAAUUCACAUAAUCAACAUGCUUUUACAACCCAAACAUUCGCAUCAUGUAAUGACCCGGGACUACCCGCUAGUCGUCACACGGUGCUUACAUACUUGAGGGACCAUAAGCUAAUCCAUGAGCUGGUACCUACUGUGAGCACGGAAUAAUAUCAUAAAUAUGAAAAAAUACUGACAUUGCCAUAAGGUUUUAAUAACUGAAUUCAAUAUUGGAAUAUAAAUCUAUAGGAAAUAACUGUCCACAUCAAAGAAAAAUACUGAGAAACUAACAUGUAAAUUGAAAAUCUGAAUACUGAAUAACUGACUCAAAUGUCUAAAAAGCCUCUAGGAUUGACUGACUGAGAGUUGAUGGGACAGUCCUCCCAUCUAACUCUACUAACUACUGAGAUAAAGAUAUGAAGUAAUAUAGUCUGUCCUUGGAUGAUGAGGACUCACCACUACUACUGUAUUGUCGAUGAUCUGAGGGACUAAGUGCGAUCUGGGAACUGAGCGUCAGUACCUAUGAUAUGAUAUAUCAUAGCGCAAAAGAAAGGUAUGCGAUCAGUACUUUGAAUGUACUGGCAUGCUAAAUAAGGUAGACUGAUUUACAUGGUUUCAUGAAUAGGAAUAAUAAUUACUAACUAAUUAUACAUGUAAAACAUAUGGUAAUGAGUAGAGAACAUGAAAUCCAUAGAUACUGAAAUAUGUGAAGCAUAUAAAUACUGUGUAUGCAUAAAAAUUUAUAAAUACUGAAGAUAUGUGAAAAUCUAUAGACACUAAGGAUGCAUGACCAAGCAUAUAACAAGAACUGAGUAAAGUCUGUAAACUGAGAUACUGAAAUGACUGACAUCUGUAUGCUUUGGCCACACGACACUAAGAUUGAAUAGCUGAAUGGGGACUGUGACUGAGACUGUGGGAGAUAUCAUCUAACCUACAUGCCCCAAUCUGAGCUAAUCGGGGUCCAACCUGUACCCUAGUUGGAUAGGUAUUAAUACCAUACCACGGGUACUAUCAUUGGCUGUGUGGAUCCACAAAACUGAUAUAAUGUCUAAAGGACUAAGGGUGUCAAACCUGAUCUAACGGGUGACCCUUGCGAGAUAGUUAAGCCUAAUUUGACGGGUGACUACUUAUAUCCUACGCUGGCUAGUAGUUCUGGAGUAUAGGGACUACUACUAAUGACUCUGCCUAUCUGAUGGAAAAGCCGCCAUCCCUUUACUCGCUCGGUGUUAAAUCCUACUCCUAACUGAAAGACACUGAGAUACUAGACUAUUUUGAGUUUAAUGACUGAUAUCUGACUAUUCUGAUAAUGCUCAUAGUAUAAUCUGAAGACUAUUUUGUAAUGUACUGAGACUAGACUAAAUAAACAACUAUGAUUUUUGGAUAUUCAAUACCCCCAGGACUCAAAACAACAAUACUGAAAAGACACUAAAGCUUAGGGGACAAAGCAUAAAGGUUUUUAUUAAAUCAAUCACUCUUGUAGGUAUUUUAUCAAACACCUGUAGUUCAUGGUUCAAAACAAUCAUAAGAAUGUCCUAAAACAUAUAGAAAUAACAUGAAUCCCACAUAAUAGAGUUAAAUCAUGGUUUUGUUUAAUAAAUAAUAAUAUUAAAAUAAGGAAGAUUGAAUAAUAACGAUAAUUUCAUGGUAACAUGGUAUAAAAUCAUAGUUAAUGGAGAUUCAUAAGUGAAAUCACAAUUUAAAAUAUAAUAACUUGAAAAUAUCACAAUUUUAUAAUUUUAAGGGGUUGCUUGGAUUCCAUGGAUGAAAGGGAUCCAUGGAUGAACAUCUAACAUACCUUAAUAGAUGAACUUCUUGGUGAGUUCUUGAGGAUUGACCUUGAAAUCAGAGAGCUAGGGUUCUUGAUUUGGGAGAGAAAGCUUCUUGAUUUGGGGGAAAAUAAUUAAAAUAAUGAGUUUAAAAAUAUUUUUAGGGCUUAAAAGCACACCUGGGCGGAUUAAAAUUAAAAUUAGGGAAAAGGACUGUUUUACCCCUAGGAAAAACUUUUAAUUUUCGUCGAAUUUUUUUGAUAUGGGCACCUGGCGCGACUUAGCGCUAUCGCGCCGUAUCACUGGAAACUGACAACUGGGAACUGGGCCGACGGCGCGACGUUCCAUUAUCGCAGUAAGACUUUGGAUGCCAUUUUGGCUACCUCCACGAUGUGCCAACAUCGUGGAGUCCCACUAAAAAUUGACAAAUAAAAAAUUGGCCUGCUCCAGGUCGCGUCAUAAUCUCGGAGUCAUAGUGGAAAUUGAUAAUUGUCAUUUGGGCUACCUAUGCGAUGCGCUAAGGGUUAAAAUGAUGGUGUUUAACGACUGAAACUUUAAAUCACCAUAACUUUUUACCCGGUUAUCAGAUUUUGGCAAAUUUUAUAUCGUUGGAAAGGUAGUUCAAUUUUCUACGCAAUGGCAGGCUCUAAACAGAAAAAUAAAUGAGUAUUUCCAAAAUUUUAUAUAUGAAUACUCAUAUAUUGGGACUUAGAUUAUGCUAGGGAAAUACAGGGUGUUAUAUUUUCUCCUCUUUGGGAUCAUUCAUCCCUGAAUGAAACUAGUUAAGCUAAGGAAACUAAUGGACUGAGCUUACACACUGAAUAUGCAUGUCUGAUGCAUAGAAUACAUGACUGAAUUGAUUCUUGAAUGCACGACUGGCAUGAACAUGAUGUGCAGCUGAAACUGAGCAUGAUAGAGAAAAAUCUUAAGAAGAUUGGUACCUUAAACUGAAUUUGGAUUCGCGGAUAAAAGAUGAGGGUACUUGGUCAGCAUAUCUUCUUCUGCUUCUCAAGUGGCUCCCUCAAUGGACUGAUUUCGCCAAAGAAAUUUGACUAGUUGAACUUCUUUGUUCCUUAAUCUACGAACUUGAUGAUCAAGAAUUUUGACUGGAACUUCCUCAGGAAAGACUGUUCUGAAUAUCUAUACUUUCUAAGGAAACAACUACAGCUAGCUCACCAAUAUAAUUUUUCAAAAAUUAGACGUGGAACACUGGGUGUAUUGAGGAUAGAUCUGAAGGCAACUCAAACUCGCAAGCUAUCUUUGAAAUCAACUGUGCAUGCUUUCAGUAUAUCCUUAAGAGUCUGAAUGGUCCUUUCUACUUGACUGUUUGUCUGAGGGUGGAAACGAUACUGAGAUGGACUUGGGUACCAAGACCCUUUUGGAAUCAUUUUCAGAAGUGAGAGGUAAACUGGGUACCUCUAUCUGAGAUGAUAGAUAAGGGAACACCAUGCAACCUAACCAAUUCUCUGAGAUAGAGUUUGGCAUAGUCCUCGGCUGAAUAAGAGGUAUGGACUGACAAGAAAUAAGAUGAUUUGGUCAUCUUGUCUACGAUAACCCAAAUAGAAUCAUGCUAAUAACGGGUACGAGGCAAACCUAUCACAAAAUCCAUGUUCACUUUCUCCCAUUUCCAUAUGGGAAUAAUGAACUCCUGCAUGGACCCACUAGGCUUCUGGUGUUUAACCUUAACUUGCUGACACGUAGAGCACUUUGCUAUAAACUCUGCAAUAUCUCUCUUCAUCCCACUUCACCAAUACAUAUCACGCAAAUCACUGUACAUCUUAGUGGGCCCUGGAUGAAUAGAGUAACGCAUACCAUGCACUUCUGUAAGAAUUCAUUGCCUCAAAUCAUCUAUACCAUGCACACACAAUCUACCCUAAUAGCGCAACACACCAUCUCCCCCUUGGGAGAAAACCUCAACUUUCUGAUCUCUGACUUAUUCCUUCACCUUAACUAGAAUGGGAUCUCUAUCCUGCUUUUCCUUCACCUCGGAAACUAGAGAUGAUUCUGAGCUACUCUGCACAAACACACUACCCUUUGCUGAGUCGAUUACGUGGACACCUAGUCGGGCAAGUUGAUGAACUUCCUAAGCUAACUUCUUCUGACCAUCCUCAACGUGAGCAACACUACCCAUAGACAAUGUACUGAGAGCAUCAGCCACUACAUUGGCCUUAUCCAGAUGAUACAGAACACUCAGGUCAUAAUCCUUUAAGAACUCUAACCACUUUUUCUAAUGCCAAUUCAAAUCUUUCUAAGAGAAUAUAUACUGGAGGAUUUUGUGAUCUGUGAACACAUCUACAUGCACCCCAUAUAAGUAAUGCCUCCAAAUCUUUAAGGCGAAUACUACUGCUACUAGCUCAAGAUCAUAGGUCGGAUAAUUCUUCUCAUGAGGCUUUAGUUGUUUGGAGGUGUAGCUAUGACCUUACCUCUCUAUAUGAGGACACAACCCAAACCUACUCUGGAUGCAUCACAGUACACAACAAACCCAUCAAAAUCAUCUGGUAGAGUAAGAACUGGGGUUAAGGUGAGUCGAAUCUUUAACUCCUGAAAACUCUUCUCGUAAGAAUUUAACCACUGCUCUGAGUCAGUCUGGACAUGAAGGAUGAAAUAGAUGAAACCGUUCAACAAAUCGAUGGUAAUAGCCAGCUAAACCCAAGAAAAUCCUAAUAUCUGAUAAAGAGAUGGGUCUAGGCCAGUUUUUCACCGCCUCGAUCUUUUGAGAAUCAACCCUAAUGCCAUCACCAGAAAUAAUAUGGCCAAGGAAAUCUACUGAUCUUAGUCAGAACUCACACUUACCGAAUUUAGUGAACAACUGAUGGGCUCUAAGAGUCUGGAGCACUAUUCUGAGAUGGUCUACAUGAUCGCUUUUGCUACAAGAAUAGACAAGAAUGUCAUCAAUAAAGACUAUGAUGAACAUGUUCAAGUACUGCUUGAACACUCAGUUUAUUAAGUCCAUGAAGGCUGCUGGGGCAUUCAUGAGACCAAAGGACAUGACUAGAAAUUUGAAGUGACCAUGCCGAGUUUGAAAAGCUAUUUUUAAAAUGUCACGUUCUCUGGCUCUAAGCUGAUGAUAGCUUGAUUUGAGGUCUAUCAUGGAAAAUUAACUGGCACCCUAAAUUUGGUCAAACAAGUCAUCGAUUCUAUGAAGUGGGUAUUUAUUUUUGACUGUGACCUUGUUUAAUUGACGGUAGUCAAUACAUAUUCUGAGAGAACUACCUUUCUUAGUACGAAUAGAAUAAGUGUGCCCCAUGGGGAGACACUGGGUUUGAUGAAUCCCUUAUCUAGGAGAUUAUUUAACUGGUCUUUUAAAUCUUUGAGUUCAGUUGGAGCCAUUUUGUAUGGCGGAAUAAAUAUAGGCUGCGUAUCUGGAAGAAGGUCUAUUCCGAAGUCUAUUUCCUUUUCGAGAGAAACUCCGGGAAGAUCUUCAGAAAAUAUAUCUGAGAAUUCAUUUACUACUGGGACUGACUCAAGAGUAGGAGUUUCUAAGCUAGAGUCUUUGACUCGCACAGGAUGGUAGACACACCCCCUGGAUAUCAUCUUUCUGGCUCUAAGGUAUGAAAUCAACUGACCCCUAAGAGCAUGAGUAGAGCCAAUCCAUACUGAGAACGACAUCAAAAUCCAUCAUCUCUAACUCCACGAGAUUAACUGAGGUAACUUUUUUGAGAUAUUAUGACCAAAAAGUUCCUGUAUACCUGCCUGGCUACAAUGGAAACACCUAAUAGGGUAGACACUGAAAAAAGAUCUGCUAGAGUUUUGGGACUGACUCCAAAAUUGAUGGUUAUAUAUGAAGUUACAAAAGAAAGAGAAGCUCCAAGGUCUAGUAAAGCAUAAACAUAUAAGUAAAAGACCUGCAACUUACCAGUAACUACGUCAGGAGAAUUUUUAUGAUCUUGGUGGGACUAAAGAGCAUAUAAUCUAUUCGGAUGCUGACCACUGGUAGCACUGAAAGCGGCACCCUGCUGAGUUGGGCGACCGGAUAAAAUUGAUGAUUGAUGGGACUGGCCCUAUUGGCGCAUAUCCCUACCUUUCUUAGCAACUACCCGACACUACCAAAUUCGAUAGCUUGGCUUGCCACACCCGAAGCAUAUAUCACUACCCAUUCUACACUUACCCUGAUGGUGUCUUCCAUACUUGUAACAUAAAGGAUUGGUAUGAAUACUACUAACAUGGACUUAGGACUUAAAGCCUGGUGUCUUAUCCCUAUUGUCAUUUCUGAAUUUGGGUACCGGGGCACUGGUUAAAGAGGGCGCUGGGGCUCAAGACCUCUGAUGAAACAGAGGACAGUUACCACCCUCUGACUUGGGCUGACUAAAAUUAAAACUACCCAUCCUAGCUCUCUUAUAUCCUUUCCCCCUCCUUAAUCUUCUGCUCCUCUAUCUGUUGAGCAUGGACUAUCAGUCUAGACAAGUCCAUCUCCCUAAUUAGCAUUGCGAUCCUACACUCCUUGACCACACUAUUAGACACGCUAGAUACAAACUUACUCAUCUUAGACCUACUGUCAGCUACCACAUGAGGAGCAUAUCUAGCUAACUGAGUGAACUUGAUAGAAUACUCCCUCACACUUAUGAUUCCUUGCCUCAAAUUAAUAAAUUCUAACACCUUUGCAUCCCUCAACGCCAAUGGAAAGAAUUUGUCCAAGAAAGUCGUGGAAAACUCUUCCCAUUCUAGAGGCCCUGUAUCAACACCUCUAUCAAGUUUCCACUGCUUAAACUAAGUAUGGGCGACAUCCUACAAUUGAUAUGUAUCCAACUUGACACUUUGACUAAAAGUCACCCCUAUAGCAUCCGUUACCUUCUGAGCCAUAUCUAAGAAUUCCUGUGGAUGCUCUUCAUACUUGGACCCCAUAAAGGAAGGAGGAUUCAUUCGGGUGAAGUCCUGAAUUCUGGUUGCAGCAAUAUUGGCCACUGGGUUGGCUGGAACAUCUGCUGGUCAUUUAUUUUGUGUUGCUAUAGAGUUCAUUAUAGUUGUGAACGCAACCCUGAAUUCUGCGUAAGAGACAUGCUUGUCCAUAGGAUCUUCCUGGACGGGCUAAGUGGCUGGAUGAGUUCCUAUUCUUCUUAUGUUCUUCUUGGGAGGUAUGUUCUGUAAACGAAAGAAGGAAAAAGAUUAGACUGAGAGUUUAACUUGAGCUCAUGCUCAAUCGCACGACAUAACUACUGAAAGAAGGGAAACUUUUCCAAAAUAUCUUGUAGACUCUCAUCCAUAAGUCUGGCGCGCUACACACCCAUGCACAAGACUCUACUCGACGUGGCUUUCGGACUUCCAAUGACACUUUAAAACCUUAGGAUUUGAUACCAUUUUGUUAUGACCCGAGCUGGGGCCCUGGCCACAACGGGCAUCCUAAGCCAUCAAGACCCGAGAUACCCAUGAAACUCCCUAACCCACUAGUGAUAUUGUCUACUUUGAGCCUAGGAUCGCACGACUUUAAAACGCAUCAUUAGGGAGUAAGGCUUGCUUACUUAUAUACCCAGCAUCCCUUCUGUGUUUUGCUGAUGUAGGACUCUUUUCCUUAAGGAGGGGUGUUACAUACACCCCCUUUAUGGACUCAGCCUCCUCGCUGAGGUUUGUCCUACCGAAUGGGAUUCGCCUACACUCAUGACUGAGGUUUAUCCCAUCGAACCGGUAUUUGCCUACACUCAGUUUGAACUAUGGCCCACAUUGAUAGGGAUGACACAAGAGCGACUUUGAUACCAAGUUUGUAAUGACUCGGGACUACCCCUAGUAAUCACACGAUGCUUACGGUCCCAAGGCACCACAAGCUAACCAUGAGCUAGUACCUACUGUGAGAACUGAAUAAUAAUAUCAUAAAAGCAGAAAAAUACUGAUAUUGCCAUAAGCUUUUAAUAACUGAAUUCAGUAUUGGAAUAUAAAAUAUAGAAAAUAACUGUCCACAUCAGAGAAAAAUACUGAGAAACUAACAUGUCAACUGGAAAUCUGAAUAACUGACUCAAAUGUCUGAAAAUCCUCUAAGACUGACUGACUAAGAGUUGAUGGGACAGCCCCCCCAACUAGCUCUACUAACUACUGAGAUAAAGAUAUAAAGUAAUAUAAUCUGUCCUCAGAUGAUGAGGACUCACCACUGCUAUAGUACUGUCGAUGAUCUAAGAGACUAAGUACGAUCCGAGAACUGAGCGUCAGCACCAAUGAUAUGAUACAUCAUAACACAAAAGAAAGGUAUGUGAUCAGUACUUUGAAUGUACUGGUAUGCUAAAUGAGGUAGGCUGAUAUGCAUGGUUUCAUGAAUAGGAAUAAUAAUUACUAACUGAUUAUACAUGUAAAACAUAUGGUACUGAGUAGAGAACAUGAAAUCAAUAGGUACUAAAAAUAUGUGUAGCAUAUAAAUACUUUGUAUGCAUGAAAAUCUAUAAAUACUGAAGAUACAUGAAAAUCUAUAGACACCGAGGAUGCAUGAGUAAACAUAUAACAAGAACUGAGUAAAGUCUGUAAAUUGAGAUACUGAAAUAACUGACUUCUAUAUGCCUUGGCCAAACAAUACUAAGAAUGAAUAACUGAAUGAGGACUGUGUCUUAGACUAUAUCUGAGACUGUGAGAGGUAUCAUCUAAUCGACAUACGUCAAUCUGAGCUAAUCAGGGUCCAACCUAUAGCCCCAGUUGGAUGGGUGUUAAUACCGCACCACGGGUACUAACAUUGGCUUUGUGGAUCCACUAAACUGAUAUAAUGUCCAAAGGACUAAGGGUGUCAAGUUUGAACUGACGGGUAACCCCUGUGAGAUAGUCAAGCCUAAUCUGACGGGUGACUACUCAUAUCCUAUGCUGGCUACGUAGUUAUGGAGUAUAGAGACUGCUACUAACGACUCUGCCUAUCUGAUGAGGAAGCCGCCAUCCCAGCACUCGCUCGGUGCUAAAUCCUACUCCCAACUGAAAGACACUAAGAUACUAGACUGUUCUGAGUUUAAUGACUGAUAUCUGACUAUUCUGAUAAUCCUUAUAUUAUAAUCUAAAGACUAUUCUAUAAUGUUCUAAGACUAGACUAAAUAAACAAUUAUGAUUUUUGGGUAUUCAAUACCCCCAGGACUCAAAACAACAAUAGUGAAAAGAGGCUAAAGCUUAAGGGACAAAGCAUGAAGGUUUUUAUUAAAUCAAUCACUUUUGUAGGUAUUUUAUCAAACACUUGUAGUUCAUGGUUCAAAACAACCAUAGGAAUGUCCUAAAACAUAUAGAAAUAGCAUGAGUUCGACAUAAUAGAGUUAAAUCAUGGUUUUGUUCAAUAAAUAAUAGUAUUAAAAUAUGGAGGAUUGAAUAAUAACAAUAAUUUCAUGGUAACAUGGUAUAAAAUCAUAGUUCAUGGAGAUUCAUGGGUGAAAUCACAAUUUAAAACAUAAUAACUUAAAGAAAUCACAAUUUUAUAAUUUUAAAGGGUUGCUUGGACUCCAUGGAUGAAAGAGAUCCAUGGAUGAACAUCUAACAUACCUUAAUGGAUGGACUUCUUGAAGUUCUUGGUGAGUUCUUGAGGAUUGUCCUUGAAAUUGGAGAGUUAGGGUUCUUGAUUUGGGAGAGAAAACUUCUUGAUUUGGGAAAAAAUAAUUAAAAUAAUGAGUUAAAAAUCAUUUUUAGGGCUUAAAAGCACACCUGAGCGAAUUAAAAUUAGGGGAAAGGACUGUUUUACCCCUGGGCAAAACUUUUAAUUUUCAUUGAAUUUUUUUGAAAUGGGCAUUUAGUGCGACACGGAGCUAUCGCGCCGUAUCACUAGAAACUGAAAACUGGGAACUGGGCUGAUGGCGUGAUACGUCAUUAUUGCUGUAAGCCUUUGGAUGCCAUUUUGGCCACCUCCGUGGUGCGUCAACAUCACGGAUGCCCACUGGAAAUUGACAAUUGUCAUUUGGGCUGCCUACGCGAUGAGCUACGGGUUAAAAUGACGGUGUUUGACAACUGAAACUUUAAAUCUCCAUAACUUCUUAUCCGGUUAUCGGAUUUAGGCAAAUUUUAUAUUGUUGGAAAGCUAGUUCAAUUUCCUACGCAAUGGCAUGCUCUAAACUGAAAAAAUAAUGAGUUUUUCAAAAAUUUUAUGUAUGAAGACUCAUGUAUUGGGGCUUAAAUUAUGUUAGUGAAAUAUGGGGUGUUACACAUUAUGUAAUCAAAUAUAACACCGACAAGAACAUCUUACUUAUUCUUAACACAAAAUUUUAAAAUUACUCUAAAAAUGGGAAUUUUCCCACCUCACACUUAAAAAUCUACUUUAUCCCCAAAGUUUACUUUUAAAAGGUAGAGAUAAAAAUAUUCUCUGAGGCCUCUAGGUCCAUCCAGUAGCAUCUUUAUACAUUAAGAGGGUUCGGGGAUCCCACACUUAGUCUUCGCCAUGCUCUGUAGCUCUGGUUUUUCGGCCUUCCCAUUAACCCAUGACUCAACAAAAACAAAAACUAGUGAAGUAAAAACUAAAAAUACUGAAAAUAUAACCUACCUUAACUUGGGUUACCUCCCAAGCAGCGCCUGAUUUAGUGUCGUGGCACGAACCACCUACAACUCCUCCAUAUUCCUUCAUUCUUUUCCUCACACUUGGAGGCCAUUUUCUUAUUAAUUUUUGACCUUUUGAGUGUAAACUCUCAAGGUCAAUAGCUUUUUCACAAAUAGCCUUUUUAGGCUCAUCAAUCUGCAUCAUAUCGGGCUCAGGUAAUGGAGGCUUGGGAUGUUCAAUGAGGACUUCCAAAGAGGUCUUUUGUAGAAAAGGCUCCACCACUCCACAUUUAUCCUCUUCAAUCACAAUAAUCAUGCAUAAGUUUUUGUAAUGGGAUAGUGUGUUAAGUAGUUUUACACUUUAAAAACCGCCUCUUCAUCCUCCAACCUUAUUGUGAGUGUGCCCUAUCUCACCUCAAUCAAAGCUCUUCCUGUCGCUAAGAAUGUAUGUCCUAAGAUGAUUAGUACUCUUUCAUCUUCUUGAAAAUCUAACACAAUAAUUUCAACAGGAAUAAUAAAUUUACCAACCUUUAUGAGAACAUCCUCUAUGACUCCUUCAAGACAGGCGAUGGUCCCGUUUGCUAGCUACAGUAGCAUAAAGCCCGGUCUAGGCUUUCCCAAGCCUAAAGUAUUGAAAAAAGUGAGGGGCAUCAAGUUGAUACUUUCCCCUAAAUCACUAAGUGCUUGAACCACCUCAUUAUUUCCAAUUUGAAUAGGGAGAGUAAACUUCCUAGGGUCCUUAAGCUUUUUGGGCAUCUUUUGAGUCACCACAAAGCUAUACUCCUCAGUGAGUGACACUGUCUCAGCAUCCUACAACUUAACUUUAUUAGAAACCUUAACUUUAUUAGAAACCAUGUACCUCAAGUGCUUAGCGUACUUGGGCAUUCUUGGCAAACAUCUAAAAGAGGUAAAUUAAUGUGAAGCUCUCUGAAUGUGUCAAAGAACUUCUUGAAGCAUGCAUCCUCCUUUGUUUUUCUCAGCACUUGCGGGAGAGGUAGUGGUGGACUUUCCUUUACCGAUUUUGCAACUUUCUUUUUUGAGUACUCAGACUUCCUCAAAUUUUCAGCAACUUUAUCUACAAUCGGUUGGAGAGUUAAAUAUAUAUCUACCUCCUUAGUUUUCUUUGGAGGUUCUUCACUCAGCUCUUUUCCACUCCUCAAAGUGAUUGCCAUGACUUGUUUAGGCUUUUCAGUAUCACUUGGCAACCUGCCUUAAGGCCUGGUGUUCUGUGCUACUGCUAUCUGCCUACUUGCAACUCCAAGCUCCUUGUAGCCGCUUGCUGGCUUUUUAUAUCUGCUGCCAAUUAUGCUUGAGCAACUAAAAUUUAUUUCAUCAUCUCUUCCAUAUUGCUAUUUGCGGCCUUAUUUGCUUGAGUUCGGGGUUGCUGAAACUGCUACUGAUGGGAAUUCCAUUGCUGAUUUAGUGGCUGAGUCUGCCACUUUAUCUUGUAGGCAUUCCCAUAGUUAGGCCUCUGAACAUUACCCACAAACAUCACGGACUCAGGAUUUGCAGCAGACUUAUCUGCAAAAUGACCACUAUUUCCAUAGACCACUAUUUCCGUAGACCACACGCCAAGUGCUUGUCUGCUAAAUUGCAUUCAUUGCGGUUGUAGGCAGGGUAGAACCCAAUUUUAUGUUGCUGAGUUGUACAGUCAACUAAUUUUGUAAUGCAACAAUCUGAACAGAUAUUGCGGUAAACUGAUCCACCUCCAAAACACCUGCAACCUUUUUAGUAGCACUCUUGAGUCUGAAUGCCACUCUGAAUUUCCUUGUGCAAUCCAGUUCAAUAAAGUAUACAACUCAUCGUACGUCAUCUCUAGAGCUUGACCAUCUCUAGCUGAAUCUAGGAAAAUCUUUGUUCUAUGAUCAAGUGCCUCCAUAAAAGUAUGAGCUAAUACCCAAUUGGACUAUUGAUGGUGUGGACAACACCAUAGAAAAGCUUUGAAUCACUCCCAAGCAUGAUAUAAAUUCUCUUCUGGCUUUUAUUUGAAGCAGAUAAUCUCACUGUGAAGUCUCACAGUCUUGCCAGAUGAAAAAAAUUGGAUGAGGAAUCUCUGGGCUAAGUCAUCCCAUGUUGUGAUUGAAUUUGUUGGCUCAGCAUUGAACCACUUCUUCACUUCCCCUAACAGUGAAAAAGAGAAUAAUGUCAGCCUCACAUAAUAAGUUGACACACUCGUAGGGAUAAAUGUGUCACUGAUCUCCAAAAAUUUUCGUAGGUGGACUUGUGGAUCUUCAUGUGAAAGCACGGUAAACUAUCCACUGCUGAUCAAAAGCUACAACAUAUUUUGUUUCAGAUUAAAAAUUACCUCCAGCAGUCGGUUUCUAAAAAGGGAAGGUCAAAUUUAUUCGAAGUAUGAUUGCCACUUCUCGAACUGUGCUGCGGGCUGCUUGUUCUUCAGCCAUGAGAGCAGAAUGGUAUUGAUCUUAUUCUAUUUGUGAAAUUUGUGGGAGAAAGAUUGCUUCUCUGCUUCGUUGAUAGAAGCACUGUUCGGGUUCAGGACUUGGUUAAACUAAUUCCUAUCCCUUGCUAGCUUACUAGCCUAAAAACCAGUUUCCUGCAAUUACAAAACCAAGACCAAGCAUAAAACACUAAAUAAAUCUAAAUAGCAUAACUAAAUAUAAAAUAGUUGCCAAAUUACAAAUCUCUGACAACAGUGCCAAAAACUUGAUAGCGCACACGCAAGUGUACGUGGUAACUAAAAAGAGUUGUGAUUGGUAAACUAAAAAUAAAGUAAACAGUGCAUAAAUUAAAGACUAAAGACAAUCAAUUAAGUAAAUCCCAGGGUUAAAGCACCUCAAAAAAUCAUACUACGCUAUUGAACUUCAUUCGUUAAAUCUCUUAUCUUGGUUGUUGAUUCAUAGGGUUUAUUGCAUGAUCAUGGUCUCCCGACCUCUAAUCAUCUAUCUAACUUGGGUAUUACAACUACAUCAUUGAGCGGGGAUGUAAUAAUCCAAUUAAGUUCUUAAAGCUAUCAUCCUACAUGUGAACCAAACAAGGGUUCUAGAUAUAUCCUUGUCCUAGAUGCUAAUUCAAAUUCCUUAUUUCUUAAAAGGAAUAGGUACCUUACUUUGUUUAUCCCCAUGUUCUAUCUUUCUAUUUCCCCUCCCGAGAUCACAAGGUUGACAAUAUAUGUAUUCUAAGGUUAGAUACUCCUUAAAAUAGUUCAUACAAGGAUAAACAAAUAACCAAAUAUGAUAAUAAAAUCAAACAAAGUCAAUGUAAAAUGAUAGUAAUCAUGUUCUUGGCUUUAACCCCAGAAAGGGGGUGCUUAGCCACUAAUCGACAUAAUCAUGAUCCAAAUACUUGAAUACAUAAUCAAAUCUAUUAAAAAUCAAAAGUUAAAGAAUAAGAACCCUAAAUAAAGUGUUUAUAAUCCCUUCAUAAUUCUCCAAGAUGUCCAAAGAUGAUUAUAAUAAGCUACAAAGUAUUCUAUUAUUAGUUGAGGACUUAAGCUGUGUGUGGGGAGAUGUCCACGGCGUGUUGGAUAUCACGUGGGAAGAGUGGUGCAUCACGAUGUAUAUAUCAUGGGAUAAGGGGCAUAGGGCAUUGCAAAUCGAGUUGGAAGAUCUCCGCGACGCGGCCAAUUAGUAUAGGCUCACUAGAAUGUGCCUCUUGUCGCCUAAUUUCAUCUCAGUGUUUCUCAUUCCAUCCCUUGCAUUGUGGUGUUGUUUCUGCUCAAUUUACAGCUUUUAUUUCAUCAAUAUAUCACCAUAAUCAACUCACAAACCAUCCUACAUAAUGACACCCCAAAUAUUAGAGCUCAAAACAACACAACAUUCACAACGAUUAACUAAACACACGAGCUAAGACUAGGCUUCUCCACAUUGACCUUUAACUUAUUGUAUUGACUCUUGGAUCAAUCCAAUUGAAUUUUGAACAUUAUAAUCAAGUUUUUCCACUCAUAAACACACAAUAAUAGCCUUAGAAAUUCAACACACCCACCAGAAUCCAUCAAAAACAACUAGAACAAUACCUAGCUCAAGCUAGUCAAACUAGUUCUCUUGUCUAGACUCUAAAUGAUCCUUUUAAACCCCAAAUUGUUUGAAAACACCUUUAAACAUUUUAAUUACAUACUUGAACACUUAAAUGCUUACUUACAUCAUUAUUGACACAUAAAACGCAUGAAUUGUCCUAAAAACAAGGCAAAAUAGGCUAGGAUGACAAUGCUAGAGUGCAAAAAUACACCCAACAUCACCUCUCAAAUGAAUUUCCUAUAUCUUCUAUCAUCUCUACCUACCCUAUAAUUUCUAAUUUAUUUGUUCCCCACACCUUCUAUAUUCCUAGCUUACAACUAAAUUUUAUUGGAUUGAAGCUUGCUUCUCCAUAUACUGAUCUGGCAUCCUCAUUUAGUUUAUGAUAUUUUGUUGCUUUGGUUGUCCUAAAUGUUACUAAUAUGGUAACAAUCAAGUUGAACUCUUUUGAAGAUUUUCUUACUUGGAGCACAAAAUCCACUUCUCUAGUUAUGUCACAUGAUUUAUUAGGCUUUAUUAAUGGCUCUUUUUCAUCUCCUUCACCACUUAAUUAUGAUGUUGUUGGCUCUCUGUAGCUAAAUCCAACCUAUCAUUAUAUUCAAAUUGAAUAGAGUAUUCGUUCUUAGAUUUUUGCUACACUAUCUCGUGAAGUACUUAUUGUUGUCCACCUUUGUUCCUACUUUACAAGAUAUUUGGAUAUCCCUACAUAAGUGGUUUAUGCAUGCUAUUUAAGCAGAAACUAUUGAAUUAAAACAACUUAUAACUAUGAAGAAAUCUAAUUUUUUAUAUCUAUUGAUCAUUAUCUACAAAAAGCCAAACAAUUAGUUGAUUCACUUGCUGCAAAUAAAUUUUCUAGUUUCUAAUUAAGAUUUUAUUGACCAUGUGCUCCUUGGAUUAGUUACAGAGUAUGAUAUGAUGGAAAGAUUUUAUUGACCAUGUGCUCCUUGGAUUAAUUACUGAGUAUGAUAUGAUGGAAUGUAUCAUAACUUAUUUUUUUGGCAAUAUAUCUCCUAAAAGUUUACACUCCAAACUCCUUAUCCUUGAAUAGAGGUUAAAGAGGUCUUGUGAACUCGACUCGCUCGUGUCACAUAACGCCUUUAGUAGAUAAUCUGUUCCAUUAGAAUCCUCUGAGGUAUUUAUAAAUACAGCUUUUUCUCAAUAUAAUCAUGGUCGGGGGUGAGGUUUAUAUUUUCGAGGAAAAGUUUGUGGAGAACGAGGUUAUGGUAUAGCUGUGGUCAAUGUACUAAUCAUAAUAAUAUUACAUGCAAUGGCUAUACUGUUUAGUCUUGGUCAGGUAUUGACUAUGCUUUCUCUAACCCCUAUAAUUCACAAACUUUUAUUACAUCUUCCCUAUCUAAUGAGAUAUUAGGUCAUCCCCCCUCUUUUAUUAUUGUCAAGUUUGUGCAUCUCCUAGUCAUACAACUCUAGUAUGUCACAAUCUUUUCAAUCAUUCAUUUAUUGAUAAUGAUCUUCCCAAGUCUUUUGUUACUAUAUCAGUUGGUAAAACUAAUGAUGCUACUUAGUAUUUUGAUUCCACUGUGUUUGCUCAUAUAACUCCAUUUGAAAGUUACUUUAUAUAAUAAAACCCUUACUCUGGUUUUGAUUGUAUUUUGUUAGGAAAUGAUAUAUUACUUAAAAUUGCUAACAUAUGUUAUUCUAAAAUGCCUUCUUUAUCUCGUUCUCUAUAUUUGAAAUCUAUGUUCCAUUUUUUCAGCUUCAUCAUAACCUAAUUUCUGUUAAAAGAUUAUGUAAGGAUAAUGAUUGUAUUGUUAAUUUCAACUCCUCUUCUAUUUCUGUGAAGGAUAAAACUUUGUGGCAAACUCUUCUUUAAGCUAACAGUAAGGGGUUGUUUAUACCUUAUCCUAUUCACUUAUGUCCAAUCAUCCUAAAGUAUUUGUUAUCAUGCGUAAGUCUGGUGAUGUCUGGCAUUGUUGUUUGGGCCAUAGUGUAACUCAUUGUAAUACCUUGAAUUUUUAAAGCUCUAGACCCCCUCAAAAGAUAGACCACCAAUUUAGCUUUUCAAUGCUUUAAGGCCUCCAAAAACUUCCAUGUCGAUGACUUAAGUAAUGCGUCGUUAUCUCUUGUGAUUGAUCUGAGGUGAAUUUAUGCACCUUAGAGUUGCUAUUCGGGCUUAUUUAGCCUUGUUUUGAGGACCUAUCUUGUGCAUAAUAUGUAAAUAUUUGUAUAAUUGAGCAGCUAAGUGUUAAACUACUGGACUAUAAUGUUUAAGGUGUGUUUCAAACAAGUUUGGAAUUAAUUUGGUCACUUAGAGUUUAGACGAGAAAACUAGUAUUACUAGCUUGAGCUAUAUGUUAUUCUAGUUGAUCUCGGUGGAUUCUAAUGUGUGUAAUACGUUACUAAGGGAAUGAUUGUGUAAUUAUGUGUGUAUAACUUGCUUAUAGUGUUUAAGGUUCAAUUGAAACAAGCCAAGAGACAAAACAAUUAGAUAAAUAUAAAAAAAAUACAAAACUAGUAUUCUUAGCUUAAGUUUCUACUUCAUCAUCUUAGAUUUUAUGUGUUUUUGAGAUCUAAUUCGUGGUGUUUGAUUCUAUAGGAUGCUUGGUGAGUUUAUAAUGAUGG
This 23618-nucleotide long non-coding RNA is filed under the name Capsicum annuum. RNAcentral describes it as "long non-coding RNA (CANN_LNC007135)". Lineage: Eukaryota; Viridiplantae; Streptophyta; Magnoliopsida; Solanales; Solanaceae. The record is from RNAcentral.